CGUAGGUAACCUGCCUGGUAGCGGGGGGUAACUAUUGGAAACGAUAGCUAAUACCGCAUAAGAGUAGAUGUUGCAUGACAUUUGCUUAAAAGGUGCAAUUGCAUCACUACCAGAUGGACCUGCGUUGUAUUAGCUAGUUGGUGGGGUAACGGCUCACCAAGGCGACGAUACAUAGCCGACCUGAGAGGGUGAUCGGCCACACUGGGACUGAGACACGGCCCAG
RNAcentral lists this ribosomal RNA (223 nucleotides) under uncultured bacterium. Its description in RNAcentral is "partial 16S ribosomal RNA". It matches the Rfam family "Bacterial small subunit ribosomal RNA", at positions 116 to 334 of the family's 1533-position model. The record is from RNAcentral.